This 459-nucleotide ribosomal RNA is filed under the name uncultured bacterium. RNAcentral's name for it is "partial 16S ribosomal RNA". It matches the Rfam family "Bacterial small subunit ribosomal RNA", at positions 338 to 795 of the family's 1533-position model. The record is from RNAcentral.
CCUACGGGAGGCAGCAGUGAGGAAUAUUGGUCAAUGACGAGAGUCUGAACUAACCAAGUAGCGUGAAGGAUGACUGCCCUAUGGGUUGUAAACUUCUUUUAUAUGGGAAUAAAACGUUCCACGUGUGGGAGUUUGUAUGUACCAGAUGAAUAAGGAUCGGCUAACUCCGUGCCAGCAGCCGCGGUAAUACGGAGGAUCCGAGAGUUAUCCGGAUUUAUUGGGUUUAAAGGGAGCGUAGGUGGAUUGUUAAGUAAGUUGUGAAAGUAUGCUGGUCAACCGUAAAAUUGCAGUUGAAACUGGCAGUCUUGAGUACAGUAGAGGUGGGCGGAAUUCGUGGUGUAGCGGUGAAAUGCUUAGAUAUCACGAAGAACUCCGAUUGCGAAGGCAGUUCACUGGACUGCAACUGACACUGAGGCUCGAAAGUGUGGGUAUCAAACAGGAUUAGAUACCCUUGUAGUC